Molecule: ribosomal RNA, 407 nt
Filed under: uncultured bacterium
Lineage: Bacteria
Description: bacterial SSU rRNA
Rfam family: Bacterial small subunit ribosomal RNA
Source: RNAcentral
CAGCAGCCGCGGUAAUACGUAGGGUGCAAGCGUUAAUCGGAAUUACUGGGCGUAAAGCGUGCGCAGGCGGUUAUAUAAGACAGAUGUGAAAUCCCCGGGCUCAACCUGGGAACUGCAUUUGUGACUGUAUAGCUAGAGUACGGCAGAGGGGGAUGGAAUUCCGCGUGUAGCAGUGAAAUGCGUAGAUAUGCGGAGGAACACCGAUGGCGAAGGCAAUCCCCUGGGCCUGUACUGACGCUCAUGCACGAAAGCGUGGGGAGCAAACAGAAUUAGAUACCCUGGUAGUCCACGCCCUAAACGAUGUCAACUGGUUGUUGGGAAUUCACUUUCUCAGUAACGAAGCUAACGCGUGAAGUUGACCGCCUGGGGAGUACGGCCGCAAGGUUGAAACUCAAAGGAAUUGACGG